RNA transcript from Globicephala melas (long-finned pilot whale), 3228 nucleotides. It is a transcript of the gene named glutaryl-CoA dehydrogenase, with no coding region annotated. Lineage: Eukaryota; Metazoa; Chordata; Mammalia; Artiodactyla; Delphinidae. The record is from RefSeq and is a predicted model, not a curated record.
CCAGCCCGCCCCCUCCGGAGGUCAAAAGCCUUGGUCAGUAGCCCUGUGGCCUGUGCGGUGAGCCCGGGGUCUCCAGGUCGGCCUUGGUUGUUCCGCUCGCCAGCUCGCUGCCCACAUGGCUCUGAGAGGCGUCUAUGGGUGGCUACUGAGCCGCGGACCCAGCCUGCGAGUCCUUCGUUCAUGGAGCUCGGCGGCGACGCAGACCGAAAAAGGUGGGAAGACCCAGAGCCGAUCAGCCAAGUCCUCGCGGCCCGAGUUUGACUGGAGGGACCCACUAUUGCUGGAGGAGCAGCUGACAGCAGAUGAGGUCCUCAUCAGGGACACCUUCCGCACCUACUGCCAGGAGCGCCUCAUGCCCCGCAUCCUGCUGGCCAAUCGCAACGAAGUUUUUCACCGGGAGAUCAUCUCAGAGAUGGGGGAACUGGGUGUGCUGGGCCCCACCAUCAAAGGGUAUGGCUGUGCUGGAGUCUCAUCUGUGGCCUAUGGGCUCCUGGCCCGAGAGCUGGAGCGAGUGGACAGCGGCUACAGGUCAGCGAUGAGUGUCCAGUCCUCUCUUGUCAUGCACCCCAUCUACGCGUACGGCAGCGAGGAGCAGCAACAGAAGUACCUGCCCCGGCUGGCCAAGGGGGAGCUCCUGGGCUGCUUUGGGCUCACAGAGCCUAACCAUGGGAGUGACCCCGGCAGCAUGGAGACCAGAGCCCGCCAGAACCCGUCCGGCAGGAGCUACACCCUCAAUGGGGCCAAGACCUGGAUCACCAACUCACCUGUGGCCGACCUGUUUGUAGUGUGGGCUCGGUGCGAAGAUAGUUGCAUUCGGGGCUUCCUGUUGGAGAAGGGGAUGCGGGGCCUCUCGGCCCCCAAGAUUGAGGGAAAGUUUUCUCUGCGGGCCUCGGCCACGGGUAUGAUUAUCAUGGACGACGUGGAAGUGCCAGAGGAGAAUGUGCUGCCCAAGGCGUCUGGUCUGGCGGGUCCCUUCGGCUGCCUAAACAAUGCCCGCUAUGGCAUCACCUGGGGUGUGCUUGGAGCUGCUGAGUUCUGUUUGCACACGGCCCGGCAGUACACCCUGGACAGGAUCCAGUUUGGUGUCCCACUGGCCAAGAACCAACUGAUUCAGAAGAAGCUGGCGGACAUGCUCACCGAGAUCACGCUGGGCCUUCAUGCCUGCCUGCAGCUCGGCCGCUUGAAGGAUCAAGACAAGGCCAACCCGGAAAUGAUCUCCCUGCUGAAGAGGAAUAACUGUGGGAAGGCCCUGGACAUUGCCCGCCAAGCCCGAGACAUGCUGGGAGGGAAUGGGAUUUCUGAUGAGUAUCACGUGAUCCGGCAUGCCAUGAACCUGGAGGCCGUGAACACGUAUGAAGGCAUUCCCAGAGUGGGGCAUUAAUGCCCAGGGAGCUGGUGGAUGCAAGGGAGUGAGAAUGCAGCUACACACAGGAAUCACCACUCCAUUUUAUGUGAGAAAAAAAGAGAAAAGGCACUCAUGACAUCCAUGCUCUGAUCCUCGGAAGGGCAAUCACAGGGAUCCAGGCGUUCACAGCCAGCAAGUGAACCCACUUCACCUGCGAGCCCGGAUGGUACCAAACCCCUUCCCAGGGAGAUACUGCGCUCUGAGCUUAGUCAGGGAGGUGGCAGAUGGAGCCAUUUCUUCUGGUGGGAAGUGAGAGACGCUGAUUUUUAAAUAUCAAAAUUUCCCUUUUGAAGUCAUUCAAAUGUGUUCCUUAAAAAAGAAGAUGGGACUGUCUGUACUGAGUUUCUCAAUCCAGUUUUAACUGUGGAUGGGAACAGAAUCCACUCACCUUGGAACAGAAGCUCCCUUUGACAGGGGAGCAGGGAGAGGGAAGGAGAGUGACGUGGAAGCAACUUGUGAGACCCACCUGGUGUCUGACUACGCAAACUACCCCCUCCACACAGCAAGAGUUUACUCUGCGCCCUCUGACCCUCCCAUCUUAGGGUAAGUGCCUUAUGCUGGACGUUGGAGCAGAAUGAGGGGGAAAGAGAGAAUAAUAAAGAGUCUGCGUGUCUGAGCCCACAGUGUUGGACCACAGUUACUUGUAACCACCGAGAAGUUAUUUCAGUCACAGGAGAAAGGAACAUGUGUCGGGGCUGUGAAGCGCGCUGGGACCUGGUGGGGAUUUCCCCUGCCCCAGAGUGACCCAUGCCUGAGUUUUGGGCUCGGCUGUAAUAAAUAAACCCGGUUAGGCACUGCCAGGGCUCAGGGCUGAGGGCAGAGGGGACUUUGUCCUUUCUGUCACCACAGAGCUGACGCACAGUGUGGGAAAUAACGGUCCAGCUUCUCAGUUCGGACUCCCCACAUUACAGGGGAGCACGGCGCCACAAGUGGAAUGGCAAGAGCCCCAGGGCUUUUGCAGUAAUAGUGGCCCCUGUGGGGUUUAGGGCCCGGUGGUGCUAAUGUCCUUGUUCUCUGUUGACAUUUACUUUCACCUUAGCUGCUACAACUCUCGUUCCUCUGGCGGCACCCAUGUGCAUGCGUGAGUUCAGUCCUACCUCAGGCUGGCCGCACAGGUCUUUGUACAUGGUCUCCACGCUGUGGCACACUUCUUUGAGCUCUGUUUCCAGGUGACUGAUUUUUGCCAUUUUUUGGGUGAACUCUUGGAGCUUUUCCUGAAUGAUCUUGUUGUGGUGAUUAUAAAUCUGAUACAUCCUCUCCUCUAGCUUCUCUGUCAGGUCUGAAACCUUUGAAAGAAUAAGAUGUUCUUGGAAAGUCAAACAAGAGGCAUCACAAGACAUUUGUUCUAGCUGGCUCUUUAAGAUUUCUGCAAUUUAUCUUAUAAAAGUGGUAAAAACAACUCCUGUGACUGGAGGUGAAAUUGCCUAUAUGUUAAGUUUUUCUUUUUAAAAAGCAAGGUGCGAGAAUUCCCUGGUGGUCCAGUGGUAAAGAAUCCGCCUUCCAGUGCAGGGGACGCGGGCCCAAUCCCUGGUCGGGCGGGGAACUAAGAUCCCACAUGCCGUGCGGCAACUAAGCCCGCGUGCCACAACUAUUGAGCUCCCACACCUCAACUAGAGAGCCUGUGUGCCGCAGAGCCCACACACCACAACUAGAGAGAGGAAAACCCUCACACCACAGCUAGAGAGAAGACUGCGCGCCGCAACUAGAGAGAAACCUGAGCAGACCGCGUGCCGUAAGGAAAAAGAUCCCGCGUGCCUCAGCAAAGAUCCCGUGUGCCGUGACUAAGACCCAAAGCAGCCAAAAAAAAAAAAAGGAAAAUAAAU